AAUUUUGGUCGAUGGGCGCAAGCCUGAUCCAGCCAUGCAGCGUGUUUGAGGAAGGACUUCGGAUUGUAAUGAUCUUUAAGUUAGGAAGGAGGGCCGAUACCAAAGCCUUCACUUUUUCGACGUCACCAAAAUAAUAAUCACCGGCUAACUACAUUCCGGCCGCCGCGGUAAUACGAAGGGUGCAAGCGGUAAUCGGAAUUACUGGGCGUAAAGCGGCCAUAGGUGGUACGUUAAGUUGGAAGUGAAAGCCCCGGGCUCAACCUGGGAAUUGCUUUCAAAACUGGCGAGCUAGAGUACGGUAGAGGGUGGUGGAAUUUCCUGUAUAGCGGUGAAAUGCGUAGAUAUAGGAAGGAACAUCAGUGGCGAAGGCGACCACCUGGACUGAUACUGACACUGAGGUGCGAAAGCGUGGGGAGCAAACAGG
RNAcentral lists this ribosomal RNA (424 nucleotides) under uncultured bacterium. RNAcentral describes it as "partial 16S ribosomal RNA". It matches the Rfam family "Bacterial small subunit ribosomal RNA", at positions 360 to 776 of the family's 1533-position model. The record is from RNAcentral.